Molecule: ribosomal RNA, 253 nt
Filed under: uncultured bacterium
Lineage: Bacteria
Description: partial 16S ribosomal RNA
Rfam family: Bacterial small subunit ribosomal RNA
Source: RNAcentral
GACAGAGGGGGCGAGCGGUGUCCGGAGUCACUGGGCGUAAAGCGCGCGCAGGCGGCAACCUUAGUGUCGUGUGAAAGCCCCCGGCUCAACCGGGGGAGGCUAUGGCAAACUGGGUCGCUCGAGCUGCGGAGAGGCUCCUCGAAUUGCUGGUGUAGCGGUGAAAUGCGUAGAGAUCGGCAGGAAGACCAAGGGGGAAGCCAGGGGGCUGGCCGCAGGCUGACGCUGAGGCGCGACUGCGUGGGGAGCAAACCGG